GAUGAACGCUAGCUACAGGCUUAACACAUGCAAGUCGAGGGGCAGCAUGAACUUAGCUUGCUAAGUUUGAUGGCGACCGGCGCACGGGUGCGUAACGCGUAUGCAACCUACCAUCAACAGGGGGAUAACACUGAGAAAUUGGUACUAAUACCCCAUAAUAUCUCAUGCGGCAUCGCAUGGGGUUGAAAACUCCGGUGGUUGAUGAUGGGCAUGCGUUGUAUUAGCUGGUUGGUGAGGUAACGGCUCACCAAGGCGACGAUACAUAGGGGGACUGAGAGGUUAACCCCCCACAUUGGUACUGAGACACGGACCAA
RNAcentral lists this ribosomal RNA (314 nucleotides) under uncultured bacterium. RNAcentral's name for it is "bacterial SSU rRNA". It matches the Rfam family "Bacterial small subunit ribosomal RNA", at positions 28 to 334 of the family's 1533-position model. The record is from RNAcentral.